UUUCAGUGCAGUUGUGAAUUUUCGUGUCUAAUAUUUGACCGUCCGUUUUAUUUAAAAUUUUUUUAGAUUAAUAUUUUUGUUGUUAUUAGACGAUAAAACAUGAAUAAUAAAUUAUGCAUGACUUCUUUUUAUAAGUUUUUAAAUAAGUCGGAUUGUUAAAUGUUGGACACGGAAACUCAUGACUACACUUAGA
Oryza meridionalis is the source of this 193-nucleotide non-coding RNA. The record is from Rfam. NCBI's taxonomy places the organism in Eukaryota, Viridiplantae, Streptophyta, Magnoliopsida, Poales, Poaceae.